GACGAACGCUGGCGGCGUGCUUAACACAUGCCAGUCGAACGGAAAGGCCCUGCUUUUGUGUGGUGCUCGAGUGGCGAACGGGUGUGUAACACGUGAGCAAUCUGCCCCUGACUCUGGGAUAAGCGCUGAAGACGGCGUCUAAUACUGGAUACGAGCUGCGAAGGCAUCUUCAGCAUCUGAAAAGAAUUUCGGUAAGGGAUGGGCGCGCGGCUUACCAGCUUGUUGGUGAGGUAAUGGCUCACCAAGGCGUCGACGGGUAGCCGGCCUGAGAGGGUGAACGGCGACAAUGGGACUGAGACACGGCGCAGACUCCUACGGGAGGCAGCAGGGGGGAAUCUUGCACAAUGGGCGCAAGUCUGAUGCAGCAACGCCGCGUGAGGGAAGACGGCCUUCGGGUUGUAAACCUCUUUUAGCAGGGAAGGAGCGAAAGUGACGGUACCUGCAGAAAAAGCGCCGGCUAACUACGUG
This 468-nucleotide ribosomal RNA is filed under the name uncultured bacterium. RNAcentral describes it as "partial 16S ribosomal RNA". It matches the Rfam family "Bacterial small subunit ribosomal RNA", at positions 28 to 507 of the family's 1533-position model. The record is from RNAcentral.